This 468-nucleotide ribosomal RNA is filed under the name uncultured bacterium. RNAcentral's name for it is "partial 16S ribosomal RNA". It matches the Rfam family "Bacterial small subunit ribosomal RNA", at positions 28 to 507 of the family's 1533-position model. The record is from RNAcentral.
GACGAACGCUGGCGGCGUGCUUAACACAUGCAAGUCGAACGGAAAGGCCCUGCUUUUGUGGGGUGCUCGAGUGGCGAACGGGUGAGUAACACGUGAGUAACCUGCCCUUGACUUUGGGAUAACUUCAGGAAACUGGGGCUAAUACCGGAUAGGAGCUCCUGCUGCAUGGUGGGGGUUGGAAAGUUUCGGCGGUGGGGGAUGGACUCGCGGCUUAUCAGCUUGUUGGUGGGGUAGUGGCUUACCAAGGCUUUGACGGGUAGCCGGCCUGAGAGGGUGACCGGCCACAUGGGGACUGAGAUACGGCCCAGACUCCUACGGGAGGCAGCAGUGGAGAAUAUUGCACAAUGGGCGGAAGCCUGAUGCAGCAACGCCGCGUGCGGGAUGACGGCCUUCGGGUUGUAAACCGCUUUCGCAUGUGACGAAGCGUGAGUGACGGUAAUGGGUAAAGAAGCACCGGCUAACUACGUG